This 65-nucleotide transfer RNA is filed under the name Trypodendron domesticum. Its description in RNAcentral is "tRNA-Arg". The record is from RNAcentral. Lineage: Eukaryota; Metazoa; Arthropoda; Insecta; Coleoptera; Curculionidae.
AAAUAAGAAACAAAAUUUUGUACUUAGUUUCGACCUAAGAUUUUGAUCCUUAAGAUCCUUAUUUU